RNAcentral lists this ribosomal RNA (508 nucleotides) under fungal sp. GZ-2010a. RNAcentral's name for it is "eukaryotic LSU rRNA". The stretch from base 194 to 347 matches the Rfam family "5.8S ribosomal RNA". Lineage: Eukaryota; Fungi. The record is from RNAcentral.
UGGAAGUAAAAAAGUCGUAACAAGGUCUCCGUUGGUGAACCAGCGGAGGGAUCAUUACUGAGUUACCGCUCUAUAACCCUUUGUGAACAUACCUAUACGUUGCUUCGGCGGCCGUCCCCCGGGGCGUCCGCCGGAGGAUAACCAAACUCUGAUUUAACGACGUUUCUUCUGAGUGGCACAAGCAAAUAAUCAAAACUUUUAACAACGGAUCUCUUGGUUCUGGCAUCGAUGAAGAACGCAGCGAAAUGCGAUAAGUAAUGUGAAUUGCAGAAUUCAGUGAAUCAUCGAAUCUUUGAACGCACAUUGCGCCCGCCAGCAUUCUGGCGGGCAUGCCUGUUCGAGCGUCAUUUCAACCCUCAAGCACUGCUUGGUGUUGGGGCUCUACGGUUGACGUAGGCCCCCAAAACUAGUGGCGGACCCUCUCGGAGCCUCCUUUGCGUAGUAACUUUUGUCUCGCACUGGGAUUCGGAGGGACUCUAGCCGUUAAACCCCCCAAUUUUUUAAAGGU